RNAcentral lists this ribosomal RNA (251 nucleotides) under uncultured bacterium. RNAcentral describes it as "partial 16S ribosomal RNA". It matches the Rfam family "Bacterial small subunit ribosomal RNA", at positions 524 to 776 of the family's 1533-position model. The record is from RNAcentral.
GACGUAGGGCGCGAGCGUGUCCGGAUUUAUUGGGCGUAAAGAGCUCGUAGGCGGCUUGUCGCGUCGAAUGUGAAAACCCACGGCUCAACUGUGGGCUUGCAUUCGAUACGGGCAGCUAGAGUUCGGUAGGGGAGACUGGAAUUCCUGGUGUAGCGGUGAAAUGCGCAGAUAUCAGGAGGAACACCGGAGGCGAAGGCGCUCACUGGGGGUCUUUCUGACGCUGAGGAACGAAAGCCAGGGGAGCGAACGGG